This 1478-nucleotide ribosomal RNA is filed under the name Amblygobius phalaena (banded goby). RNAcentral's name for it is "partial 16S ribosomal RNA". It matches the Rfam family "Bacterial large subunit ribosomal RNA", at positions 370 to 2574 of the family's 2925-position model. The record is from RNAcentral. Lineage: Eukaryota; Metazoa; Chordata; Actinopteri; Gobiiformes; Gobiidae.
GCCCCAACAGCUAGCCCAACUUCAAAAUUCAACGAUAUACAUAAAUACCCCCAAACGACAACAAAACAACCAACAAACCAUUUUUCCCCCCGAGUAUCUGAGACAGAAAAGGGCAAUAGGCGCUAUAGAGAAAGUACCGCAAGGGAAAGCUGAAAGAGAACUGAAACAAAUCAGUAAAGGAAGAAGAAGCAGAGCUUUAGCCUCGUACCUUUUGCAUCAUGAAUUAGCCAGUACAGUUAAGCGAAGAGCACUUUAUGUUUAAAACCCCGAAACUGGACGAGCUACUCCGAGACAGCCUUUUAGGGCGAACCCGUCUCUGUGGCAAAAGAGUGGGAAGAGCUCCGAGUAGAGGUGACAGACCUACCGAGCCCAGUUAUAGCUGGUUGCCUGAGAACUGAAUAGAAGUUCAGCCUUUUUACUUUUUUAGCCAAGAGAGGCCCCUGCCUUACCUCCAGGUCAAGAGAAAGAAAAAGAGUUAUUCAAGGGAGGGACAGCUCUCUUGAACAAAGAUACAACUUUGGUAGCAGGUUAAAGAUCAAAAGAAAUAAGGCAACAUACCCAAGUGGGCCUAAAAGCAGCCACCUUAGAAAAAAGCGUUAAAGCUCAAGUACAUCAAAGCCCCGAAGAUCCCGACAACAUAAUCUUUAGCCCCUAAACAUAUCAGGCCCUCCCAUGCAAACAUGGGAAGGAAACUGCUAACAUGAGUAAUAAGAGAGUCAGCCUCUCUCGUACGCACCUGUGUACAUCAGAACGAACCCCCACUGAAAAUUAACGCCCCCAAGACCAGAGGGAACUGAGCUAAAGCCAAAGUAAACCAAGAAGUACACUCAAGAUCAAGCGUUAACCCCACACAGGAGUGCCCUACGAAAGACCAAAAGAAAAAGAAGGAACUCGGCAAGCACCAGCCUCGCCUGUUUACCAAAAACAUCGCCUCUUGCCCCACCCCCUAUAAGAGGUCCCGCCUGCCCUGUGACUUUAAAGUUUAACGGCCGCGGUAUUUUGACCGUGCGAAGGUAGCGUAAUCACUUGUCUUUUAAAUGGAGACCAGUAUGAAUGGCAUAACGAGGGCUGAACUGUCUCCUUUUUCCGGUCAAUGAAAUUGAUCUGCUCGUGCAGAAGCGAGCAUGCGCACAUAAGACGAGAAGACCCUAUGGAGCUUUAGACACCAGGACAGCCCACGUCAAAAACCCUCCCAGAAGAGAAAUAAACAAAAUGGCCCCUGCUCUCAUGUCUUCGGUUGGGGCGACCGCGGGGAAACAAAAAACCCCCAUGUGGAACGAGGCAUCCCCUUUAAAGCCAGAGCCGCAGCUCUAACAAACAGAAAAUCUGACCAACAAGACCCGGCAAAGCCGAUCAACGGACCCAGUUACCCUAGGGAUAACAGCGCAAUCCCCUUCUAGAGCCCAUAUCGACAAGGGGGUUUACGACCUCGAUGUUGGAUCAGGACUUCCUAAUGGUGCAGCCGCUAUUAAGGGUUC